This is a non-coding RNA of Ciona intestinalis (vase tunicate), 360 nucleotides long. NCBI's taxonomy places the organism in Eukaryota, Metazoa, Chordata, Ascidiacea, Phlebobranchia, Cionidae. The record is from RefSeq and is a predicted model, not a curated record.
UUUAAACAAAAUCUUUAAAAUAAGUAAGCACAAGAAAAAGUGCCGAAUUUCAUAUAUAAACCAACGACUUCAUUCAAGAAAUUAUCAUUUCUUCGGAAGAUACAACAUGAACAAGUCACUAGUUCUUCUCUUGCUCGUCAUCGGACUUCUCGUCCUCACUGAAUCCACUGAUGCGUGGCGUCGUCGUCGUCGUCGUCGUCGUACAUGGCUCGGGAACCAAGAAGAGGUUUCAGAUCUUGAAGAAAUGUCAAACACUGAACAAGAAGACAUGAAUGAAGAAGACAUGAAUGAAAACUAAUUUCUUGUCGAUCUAUAACUAAAUAUAGACCAAUGCAAUAAAAUAUAUAUAAAAAAAAACUU